CCGUUAUUUGUGUGUGUGUGGGGGGGGGGGGGGAUAGGUAGAUAGAUAAGAUAGACCACUAUAUGAAACACCACUAAUACAUAGAUAGAGAAAGGGAUAUAUAUCUAUUUAUAUAUAUCUAUCUAUAUAUCUAUCUCUAUACCUAUCUCUAUUCAUAUCUAUAUAUAUUCUAUAUCUAUCUCUAGAUAGAUUUAGCUAUUACACUGUCGGUCGAUAGAUAGAUAGAUAGAUAGAUAGAUAGAUAGAUAGAUAUAGUAGUGUUUCAUUUUAAUCAAGGAAAAUUGUGGAUUUGGGAUUCCUUUUUUUAACUGAAAAUUGGGGAUUUUUUUUUUUUUAAUCAGAGAAAACCAGUAUCUCUGGUGAUAACGGAAUUACCCAUGUCUCGGCCUGAUCUAUAUGCACCCCGGCCUCCUAAUGCUCCCCUACCCCUAACCAAAGCCAACCUCAGCUAACCUGGCACAGGUACUGCCCCAUUUGCCCAUUGCGGGCGCUUCGCCCUGCCAGGGGCUCUGAAGAUGCUUUCCACGUAGGCUCAUUUUGAAAUUCCUUAUCCAAAUAUUUCGGUAAAAGUAAAUGGUUUUUAGCGGUUAACUCCCUUCUUGGAUCCACACGCAUUUUGCUUUGCUGCGCACUUUGCAUUUUGAUUUGCUGUGGCUUCCUGUAUCCAGAAGAAAACCAUGCUAAACAUAACUGCAGGGAAUGUCUGGAUGAAUCUCUGUCCCCACGCACUGCUUCCCCUUCCCAGUUCGUUGGGAGGCAAGUGAGCACAUUUUCUACCUCGGUCCUGGAACUGCAAGGAUGACAAGGAAGCAAGAACAGCCUGAACAUCCUUCCCCAGGGUGUAAGACCAAACAGAUGCACUGAAACGGUCCUGGAGUCCUCCCUCCGCUCUUUUCACCGAUGGAGGUGUUUGGCAACCCAGCCCUUUCAUUCCCAUAAUCUGCUUCAGGGCUUUAGCAGACAGCAGAAGAGCGAGAGUAAUGUUAUCUCAGAGCCCUCGUGCUAAUCAAUGUGUUCAUAUGUUGGACAUCCCCCUUGCCUGUUUUAUAGGGUUUCGCUGGCCGUGUUUUAAUGGGCUGGGUCAUUGAGACUGAUGCUAGCGAGGUUAUUAGGAUUAAGUAACCUAAUUAAUCGUGUGACCAUUAGUAGGCUUUGAACGAAGGUUGUUUUCCGUGUAACAUGGUUUUGUGUCUCUUAACGCGGAUAGUUAUUUAAGCUGUACCUACAAAACGGCUAGGGAGGUCUUCUUUGUUUAAGCAGAGUCGCUUAGGCACAGAAAUAGCUUUAGUUGUGCAGCUACAGACAGAGCUGCUCGCUACCCCGUCUGCUUCUGUAAGAACCAAAAACUGCUUUUUUUAAGCACAGAAGUCAGUGAAACCGAUCGCUGUGGACUUUUCGAUACUGUCUGACACAACAAUGUGCACCGAGAUUUCUCCCUGAACUCCUUGGGGAAACCAGCAUCGCUGGCAGAGAAAAAGAGAGAAAUUCACACACACACACACACACACACACACACACACACGUAUGUAUAUAUGUAUAUGUGUAUAUGCACAUAAACACACACAUGUAUAUCUAUAUAUAUCGUGUGUGAGUAUAUAUAUACACACAUCUACAUAUCUAUACUGGCCCUAUGUGUGUAUAUAUAUACACACACACACAUAUAUAUCUACACACACACGCGAGCGCGCACGCACACACGCGCACACACAUAUAUAUAGCCAAUGUAUCUUUCUCUCUGUGCCAGCCUUUCUUUGUGCUUGUUAUUGGCUUGUCUGAGCGACGCUGGUUUCACAUACAGAUGUUUGCAUAUGUGUGUGUGUGUAUACAUGUAUAUGUAUAUAUGUGUGUAAAUGUGUGUGUGUAUGUACACACACAUAUAUACACAUAGAUAUACAUGCAUACAUAUAAUCUCUCUCUCUAGAUAGAUAGAUAGAUAGAUAGAUAGAUAGAUAGAUAGAUAGAUAGAUAUCCUCGUGCUAUUUAGAAAACAAUUGGCAGCAUUUAUUUUUUUUAAAGAGUUUGCUUUUAUUUUGCAGGGCGAACCAGGACCUGGGAGCAAAGAAGAUGGUUAUAUGGAAAUCCCAAGCACCGGUAAACCAAAAGGAAGCGACGUUUCACUGGAGAAGCGAGCCGCCGCAGGGUAAUGACGACGCGGGGACCCGGCUUGCUGCGCGGUGGGACACCCCCGAGGGCAGUGCCCGGGGCUCGGUGGCGCGUGGCUGGGACCGCCCGGACACGCCGGAGCCCACAACCUGCCCGGCUCCGGCAGCGGCCGCAAUCCCGGCCUGGCAGCUCUCUUCCCGGCCCGGGAGGAAGGGCCACUCCGCCCCGCCGGGAGCCCCCGCCGGCCUUGGCUCGUCCCCUGCCACCGCCAGCACCGGCGGGGACCCGCGGCUCGCAGCCUGCCCUCUAGCGCCACCUACCGCCCCCUUCCCGCAUGGAAAAACGAGACCUUUUGGCACCCGGAUUUCCACUGCACAGCGGAGAAACUUGCACACGCCGUUGAUCGCCCCCAGGAGGGAGCGCUUGAAUGUAGGUGUAGCCCACGGGCUGUCAUCCUCGCUCGGGACAUCCCCUCCGCGCGGCGGACCUCCGCUUAGUUAGGGCAGUGUUAAUGGCUAAAUCUAUCUAUCGAUCGAUCGAUCGAUCGAUAGAUAGAUGUAGCAAUUAACCGUGCCCUAAUUAAACGGAUACUUGAUUAUAGAUAUAGAUAUAGCCCGAACUGCUCUCACGUUUUGAACGCUGGAGGCACUGAGGAAGCACUUGACUGAAGCGCGGGUGGAGCAGGGCGGCGCGGUGCCGGGUGAGGCCAGGUGCUGGUGUCGGGCCAGCCCUGCUCUGCCCGGCCGGGCUCCCCGCCUGGGUUUGCUGGGCUCCGCGGUGCGGUGUUGGGAGCCACAGGCGAUGCGAAGGCUCAGGGGAGCCCACCGGGAAUCCGGAGCAAGGGGUCCAGCGGGGGUCUUCAUCUGGCUUUGGAUCCGGCUUGCGGUUCAGCGCUACCCGCACUUAUAGGGAGUGCGGGAUGACGAGGUGAGAGGCCACUGGGACAGGGACGGGCGGGGAAAGGACCAGCCACCCCGCAGCCAGGUACCGGACCCCCACGUGGAGGAGUGCAGUGGCGGGGAGGGGAGUUCAGCUCGCAGGGGUCGUGGGCUCCGGGGGGGCUGGCACCGCUGUGCGGGGCGGGGAGACAUUGCUGCUCCCUUGUGACCGUCCUGUCCUUACCGCGGGUAGCCCGGACCUACAGACCUGAGCAUCAGAGGGAUGGGCGGUCGGGGACAAGGUGAACAUACACCAGUGAGUCUCUCCCGCGGAAACUUCGCUUACGAGCACAUGGUUUCUUACUAAUUGUGCGGAAAAAAAUGCCUUCCUUUCCCCUUUUUUUAAUGACAUGUCCCUGAAGCCGUCAUGGAGAUGGAUACAGUGUUUCCAGAAACCGAUGACACAUUUUUCCAGAUAUAAAAUGAUAUAAUUGCAAAAAGCACCAGCCUAAACCUGACUACACGUUUCCGGGGGGAAAAGGGGACCCUCCAUCAUUAUGUGUUUCACCUACAGGCUGUGCUAAAUAAUGUACACUAAAUAAUGUACGCUAAAUAAGGAUAAAGUCUCCACCCUCUGGGGAUUGUUUCUGAAGGUAUUUACUGCCAGAGGAGUUCAUCUUCCUUUUCCUUGGACCACUCACUAUCUGCCCAGCACCUGCUCUCUGCUGUUCAGCUGGGUUUGAGAUUUUCCUGGGCUCCUCCGAUGUAUAACCCCUCAAAGAAGGUGCCAGCCAGUGACCAGUGCCCAUUAAAGGCCCCUUCUCCAGACCACUGAUGGCAACUCGACUUUUUCCUACCACUUCCUGCGGAGCAGCUCUGCCCUCCCUCCCCAGGAUGGGAAUUGUCCUGGCCAGUCUGUUACCGCAUCGACGGAAGAGGAUGUGCAACUUAGUGGAAACGUGUCAGGGCAAUCGGGCCGGAGCCAAAGUCCGCUGUAGGCAUUUGAACAUUUCUCCUUGCCUCCUGGACCCUCUGGAUCCAGCCCUUGGUGAGCCAGAUCUCGAUCACAGCUGGGACUUAAUUUUGCUAAACCACUUCUUAAUACCUGAGGCUGCCUGGAUCUCCAGACAGAUCCAACGCGACUGCCAGAUGAGGAUGACAGCUCAGCUCUCCUGUGAAAUACGGAUUUGCAUUUCGACCUAGAAGGACUUGUGCAACCCCUGCUGUCUCCCAUGUCUGGAGGAGGGCGAGUGCGCCCGACAGCUUGCAGUACUAGGCGCAUUCAGCAGACAGUGACACUGGCUCUUCCCCCAUCCACUACAAGCCUCUGAAACUCAUUCUUAAUCUUCCACAACCUGACAGAUACCAAGUGCCAGCAUCUUAACCACCAGGCAGGUGACACGCUGCCAGCUCUAAGCACAACCCCUUCCAACUUUACACACAGAUCAAGCAACUCUCAUUAUCUCAGUUCCCACCAGCAAUCCCUAUUCAAAAUCUGCAUGUUACCCAAGGUUACCUGCCAUCACCACUCACUGGCAUUGUGGAAUUUGAGUGUGCUAUAAUAAGGAACUGCAGGUGAUUUAAGGUCCUGUGAGGGAAAAGAAUGAGAACCCUGUCUUUGAAUGGUGAUAACCCAAAUUGCUGUCCAAAUAAACCCCAUGUUUCCUAAUGGCACUUGGGAAAUGCACUUAAGUGAGUACUUUCUAUAUUUCUUUGUAGGCUAAAAGUUACUUGGGGAAAGGCAAUGUAGUGUAAUUGUUUUGCUACUACUUGGACAUAUGGUAUCUGGAAUGAACUGCUGCAACUUCAAAUGACAUCUUUGUUCUAUGGUUCUGAUCCUGAAAAUACCUGCAUGCAUACUGUAAUACAAGUCACCUGAAGGCAUCAGGACUUAAACUAAGUUUAGCAAAGGAACUUUGGCAAUUCAAAUAGUCCAAAACUACAGUCCUCAAAACCAUUCUCUAACCCUUUAUGGGCCUAAAGACUGUAGGCACAUAAAUCUUUACUAGCAAAGCUUCAUAAGCACCUCUGCCUUGAAUCUCAGUCUUUGCAUGGCAUAGUUCAAGAUUCACAGGGUCAGAAAGCAAGUAGGAACAUUACCCUGUAGUUACGUCACUCACCUAGGAAGGGGAGUUCUUUCCAAACGUAUAAUUAGCAGGGUUUGUUUGCUUACUUCACUGCUCUGGAAGUCCUACCUGCUGCCACAGCAAAGUCUGCCUACCCCAGUUAUCGAUACUAUAGUGACACCACAGGGUCUUUGCACCUGGCUGCUACUGCAACAGCAGCAGUGGAGGGCUGCAGUUUGCUACCCUGGCAUGGCCUCACCCAGGAAGCUACCAUUUUGGUACCCCAAAUAAGUUGGUGCCCCUUACCCACCCCACAUUGCAUUACGGGUGCUUGCCUCCUACCCUGCAGACCAGUUUACAUUUAGCAGUCACUGGAUAAAAUAACCAGACCUCAGAUCAGAAACUGUUACUCAGGUCAUAAAAUAAAUGCAAGAUCAGAUCCUGCACUCCUAUUAUACGGAACUGAAAGUAACUGGAGAAACUUUUAAAUACGGAGUGGAGAAUCAGGUAUAACUAAAAGCAAUUUGAACCAAAUUCUCCUCCUGCAUAUUUCAAUCCAGUCUGUCAAAGUAAUUUAUUCAGAUAAAUGUUUUAAGAGCCAAGCAUUGGUAAUAAAAAUGGAAAUCUCAGCUUCUCAUUCUGACAAUCACAUUAGAGUUUCCCAUACUGUGCGCAACCAGGUUCUGGGAUGUAUAAUCUCUGGGCAAGUGAAAGGAAAGGGGAAGCUCAGAAGGCUGUUCAAUACAUUUAAUUCCCAGGUUAAUAAUCGGACCUGUGUAAAAUUAACCACACAAUUAUAAUCCUUUACAAUUGUUAGAAUUGUAUUGCCUUCUAACAUAAUUUUGCAUUAAAAAAAACCUCUUUUGUGUAAAGAAUAUAUGGAUCUUAAUAUGCAGAAAAGACCUUAGUAAGCACUUCUUAUUGCCUGUGCCAUUUUUCAUUAAACAACAAGAAUUUUUCAGACUAUAAUCCAGCAGAUUGAUGAGGUUUGGCAAGAGAUUAUAAUAUUUAAAAAUCAUAGCUUUGAAAAGUUUUUUUUUAAUUUUUCCACAUUAAUAGAAAAAACCUUAAAAAGGAGAAACAUAUUUUCCUUUGCUACACUAAAAUCUUUCUCAAAGACAUGAACCUGCUUCCAUGAAAGUCAAUGGGGAGAUACGUCAAAGAGAGGAGACAUUUUGGAAGAAAUUACCAAUACAGCUGAGCCUUUUCCUCACACAAGUAGUGCUUUUGUGCCAUAUUGCACCUGCUACAGUUGGACAAUUUUUCCCUACUUUGUUUUCCACAAUUGUUGUAGUAACACACUGCCAAUAUACUUUGCAAUUACUGGGUGUCUCAGCUUUUUAACUCAACUGGUCCUGUACUCUUUACUCUGACAAACAAACAGGUUUUUCGGAAUUUUUUUAAUUGCUUUUGUCAAGGGUCUAGCUAUCAUUUUGAAAUAUGCACAAAUACUUACACGCUUCCUUGUAACCAGGCUCCUAAGGUAACCCUGCUCCACCAACCCGUUCUAUCUGCAGUGUAUGCAGCAUGUUCUCUCUACCACUGAAUUAUGUUAGCUUUUAGUGAAGGUACUGGGUUCCAGUUUUCUCUCAGCUGUGAUGACUGACUAACUCCAGUGAAGUCAUCUCAGUUAUAGGAACAGAACUGAUAAAAGUCCACUAGUUGAGUAUGAUGCUGGAGUAGAUCCUUAGGUCUGUACAUUUAGGUAUAUGCUAUUAAAAGGUGUGAAAAGGGAAAAUGGGGCAAAUUUACCAGGCAGCACAUGAAAUGUUGCCCCACUGAGAUUAAAAUUGGAUCUCAGAGUGUACACACCAAUCCCCUACUUUGAUACUGGUUCCAAGUUGAUGAGUUUAUCUGAUGUAUCAUGUGUGCAGCAUAAGGCACACUGAAGAAACAGCGUUAGUUUUUCCUGUAUGUGCUUUUCUAAAGAAUUUCCUGGUGACUGUAUCUAACAUCAUAGUCUGGGGUCCCUAGCUGAGGCCUCUCACACCCUUUGUAAUUUAAAAUAAAAGCUGGCAUGAGUUCCCAAGUGCCAGUUUCACUAGCAAGAUCAUAACCAAGUUUCCCUGUGGUAUACAAUUGAAUUAUGAAUACCAGAUUAUUUGUAGAGAUCAGAUUUGCUUUAUAUUUAAACACAUUUUAAAAUGCCAGCAAGAGGAGAACAACAUAUUAGUCUGGUAUCCUGUAAUCUUAUUUAUCUACACACAGAAUAAAGUCUCAGAUGCUGAGAUCUUUUAACAGUUUUUCCAUAUUGGAUUUUUGGGUGGAUGUGGUUUCCUUUAUGUAUCCUAGUAACAUAUUUAGUUAAUUUAUCCAUCUAUGAAUAGGCAGAUAUGCAUACAUAUCCAUAUGUACAAACACAUAUAGUCCUAAUUAAAAGUGUUACACUUCCCAUUGCAGAACUAAGUCCAGAGUGAAGCAGGGUUGAGAGAUUGCUCCUGUUUUCCAUUGAUUUAGCAGAGGGAGACAGUACAGUUCCACUCACUGAUGAACAAUCCAAAAAGUGAAAUUCAGAAUGUCUUCGGCCUUCACAGUUAAGGUUGCAGUGAGAUUUUCACUCAACGUAAAAUGAAAAUCCUCCUAUUUCACACUUUAAUGAUUGAAGUCAGUGGGAAUUAGGUUCCCUGCUCAUAGAACCUUUGUAGGAUUAAGGUCUUAAUCCCCAAUCUUAUACUUCCACAUGCAUUUAACAUCAAGCCGAAGAACAGUUCCAUCCUUUGCAGUGGGACUACUUAUGCUAAAUGCUAAACAUGUGCAUAAGUGAUUGCAAGAUGGGGCCUUAAAUUGUUGUGGUAGCCUUGGCUGUUAUAAGGCAAACUGAAAAUGCAGAGACUCUUAGCAGAUAAAUUGGUACAUAAAGGAUGGAGUGAUCUGCAAACAUUUAAUAUUAAAAUAUAAACAUAAUUUACUUAUAUGAGGGAUUCUGGAGGUCCUAAGAAAUGCUCAGUAUUGGCCUAACCCUGCCCCAGUUGAAAUAAACAGGAGCUUUACCACUGAUUUCAAUGGGAGCAGAUUUAGGCUGCUCUAGUAGUCUUUUCUUAUACUAUCCCUUACCUUUUCUUAUAUGGGUUUUUCAGGUUGAUCUUACAACUAAGAUGACUAAAGAAAUAACCGUCUUGUGAAUUGGAUUGCAUCAAGGGAGUGUAGUGCUGCCAUCAUGAUGAUGCUGAAAUGUCAGGCAGCCAUAAAUUUUGAUUCAGUAGCUUUGAUGUCCUGUGUAAUGUCCAGAUACUUCUUGGAUGUUUAUACAAGACUAAUCUGUACCCAAGAAGACUGAUAAGAUGUAACGAAACACAGAAUGCCAUAUAUGUAGAUGAAGAGGGGAGGGAUUAAUAUCAUUGUCCAUACUUAGUCAAACACUUAUGCACAUCAAUAAGCAUUUUGAAUAAGUAAGACCUGAUGAAUUGGGCCUGGAAAGUUAAUAGUUUACUUGAUAACUGGUUUGGAAAAAUCCACUGUUUUCUAAGUUCUCACCAGAAUUACAAGAUGAUAUUUUGAAACCAUUAAUAAAUACAAACAGUACACUUUAUAUUAAAAAUGAAAUAUGGGAAAUUUGCCAGAUAUAAGUUUAGAAAUUAAGGGUCAAAUGUGACAAAUAUUCUUCUCAGAUACCUUGCAAGGGAAAAUCCUAAAAUAUUUGUUUUAUAUUGCAUCUCAUAUUAAAUUAAUAUCACUUUGUGCAUGGUUCUUUUUAAGUCAUAAGAAAUGAAAAAGCACAUGUUAUUCUGCAUCAAUUUAUUUACCUAUAGGGUAUUUGUUGUCAUAUCAGCUGUCACACACUGAAACCUGAUGUUGGUAGUAAUUAUUAAAGAAAAAAGUACCUGUACAUUUUUGUCAUUUGAUUUCUGUAAUUUGUGGUGAAUGUUGUUUAUGGAAUAAAUAGAUCGAAUGCAUGUGAAUAGCAUGGGAAAUCAAUAAAAUAAACCCUGUAUUCAUUUCAAAUGUCAAAUAUUUUUUGCCAAUGUACAUGUUUUGAAUUGUAGUGAUUUUUCCAUUUAGGAAUAUGUUGCCCUCAUUAGCCUGCCUCCUUUUAAGUCAAAUAUUGAUUAUUUUGUAGGUGCUCUUCUAAUUAAUGGAAUAGAGGUUCUUGAUAAAUAAGUAUACACUGAUCAAUGUUAAAUGUUGGAGCUAAACUAACUUCUUUUUAAUUUAGGAAAAUUGUGGAUUUGUGAUUAAGCUAUAGGGGAAUGGGAGGCAGUUAUACUAUGUUUAUUUUUAUGGUUUAUAGUUGAGAAUUUUUAUAUUAUCUCACCUUUUCCUCAUGGAAUGAAUAGUAAAACAUGGAGGAAUACAAUGACAGAAUAAAGUUAAAUACAUUUGUAUCACAAA
Molecule: long non-coding RNA, 9376 nt
Organism: Alligator mississippiensis (American alligator)
Lineage: Eukaryota; Metazoa; Chordata; Crocodylia; Alligatoridae
Exons: 4
Source: RefSeq, a predicted model, not a curated record